UACGUAGGGUGCGAGCGUUAAUCGGAAUUACUGGGCGUAAAGGGUGCGCAGGCGGUUAUAUAAGACAGAUGUGAAAUCCCCGGGCUCAACCUGGGAACUGCGUUUGUGACUGUAUGACUAGAGUACGGUAGAGAGGGUGGAAUUCCUGGUGUAGCAGUGAAAUGCGUAGAUAUCAGGAGGAACAUCGAUGGCGAAGGCAGCCCCUUGGACCUGUACUGACGCUCAUGCACGAAAGCGUGGGGAGCAAACAGG
RNAcentral lists this ribosomal RNA (252 nucleotides) under uncultured bacterium. RNAcentral describes it as "partial 16S ribosomal RNA". It matches the Rfam family "Bacterial small subunit ribosomal RNA", at positions 524 to 776 of the family's 1533-position model. The record is from RNAcentral.